RNAcentral lists this ribosomal RNA (440 nucleotides) under uncultured bacterium. Its description in RNAcentral is "partial 16S ribosomal RNA". It matches the Rfam family "Bacterial small subunit ribosomal RNA", at positions 338 to 795 of the family's 1533-position model. The record is from RNAcentral.
CCUACGGGUGGCAGCAGUGGGGGAUAUUGCACAAUGGGGGAAACCCUGAUGCAGCGACGCCGCGUGGGUGAAGAAGCGCCUCGGCGCGUAAAGCCCUGUCAGCAGGGAAGAAAAUGACGGUACCUGAAGAAGAAGCCCCGGCUAACUACGUGCCAGCAGCCGCGGUAAUACGUAGGGGGCACGCGUUAUCCGGAUUUACUGGGUGUAAAGGGGGCGCAGACGGCGAUGCAAGCCAGGAGUGAAAGCCCGGGGCCCAACCCCGGGACUGCUCUUGGAACUGCGUGGCUAGAGUGCAGGAGGGGCAGGGGGAAUUCCUGGGGGAGCGGUGAAAUGGGUAGAUAACAGGAGGAAAACCGGUGGGGAAGGCGGGCUGCUGGACCGCAACUGACGUUGAGGCCCGAAAGCGGGGGGAGCAAACAGGAUUAGAUACCCUGGUAGUC